CCUACGGGUGGCUGCAGUGGGGAAUAUUGGACAAUGGGGGGAACCCUGAUCCAGCGAUGCCGCGUGGGUGAAGAAGGCCUUCGGGUUGUAAAGCCCUUUAGGUUGGGAAGAAGGAUACUAGGUUAAGAGCUAGGUAUUUUGACGGUACCAACAGAAUAAGCACCGGCAAACUCUGUGCCAGCAGCCGCGGUAAUACAGAGGGUGCGAGCGUUAAUCGGAAUUACUGGGCGUAAAGGGCGCGUAGGCGGUUAUAUGUGUGUGAUGUGAAAGCCCCG
Molecule: ribosomal RNA, 275 nt
Filed under: uncultured Aquicella sp.
Lineage: Bacteria; Pseudomonadati; Pseudomonadota; Gammaproteobacteria; Legionellales; Coxiellaceae
Description: partial 16S ribosomal RNA
Rfam family: Bacterial small subunit ribosomal RNA
Source: RNAcentral